Molecule: long non-coding RNA, 1810 nt
Filed under: Pan troglodytes (chimpanzee)
Lineage: Eukaryota; Metazoa; Chordata; Mammalia; Primates; Hominidae
Description: long non-coding RNA NONPTRT008430
Source: RNAcentral
UGGAAUCAACAUCACCCCUUCCCCCGAAUUCCCACGCACCCACAUGCGUCUGUUCCUCAGUCUCCGCUGACCCCAGGGAGCUGCUCAUCUGAUUUUUACCACUCCAAGUUCGUGUCGCCUUUUGGUAACUGCAAUCAUACGCAUCCAUACCUGAAGGCGGAAGGCAGGAUUGCCGGCGGAGAAGAGAUCCAGGUGCCUUGAUGUGAGUGUUGACGGUGGAAAGCAGGCCAGAGCCAGCUCCGGGUGCCAGCUGGAGCCCCAGAAGAGGAUCAGGCAUCGUGUUUAGUCACAACCCCCACUCCUUCAUUGGGCCAGCAAAUAUCUAUCCAUCUUCCCACCGUCUACUCGCAGCCAACCAUGUUCCUGACACUGAAGCCAGAGAAGACCAGUGUCUCCCUGUAAACCGUGGCCUUCUGUGCACCGAGCUCAGUGGCUCUUCCCCACCAAAACUCCUAAGAGAAUUCAUCCCUCCCCAAAAGGAUCCCCACGAGAUGUUCUGGCCCUCUGCUGACUGCUCCCUGGAAUCUGCACCUCAAGCACUGAGAAUGCUGCGCUCUCCAUUGGUCACCGUCAGACUCCAUUUCCCUGCUGCCAAGUCUUCUCUUCUGCCCUGUGUAUUCCGUGGUGACCCCCUUAAUGUCUGUUCUGUGCCACUAGCUUGGCCCUGGGCCUUUUAUUUAUACCCGAGUCUUACAACGAAGAGUGUCCUGAGCAGACAGUGUCCACCUUCUUUGCUCUUCAGGGGCCUGAGUGUGCUCCUUUCCCUUUUGCAGGUCUAUUGGACAUAGUAAUCCAGUGCGCUGGGGAGGGGUAGCCAGGCCGGCUACAGAGUCUGCAAUGCAGGGGCUUGGGGAGGUUUGGAUUCUCUCUGUCAGCACUAUUGAGAUGAUAUUCAGAAGAGAGAGGACCUCAUACUGUGACCAGACCCAGGACCCUUCCUGGAAGACAGCUCAGUCCAGCUGUGUGUGUGUGUGUGUGUGUGUGUGUGUGUGUGUGUGAGAGAGAGAGAGAGUUAUGUGUGUGCUGUGCUCAUGUGCAUCUGGGUGUAAAAUGACUGUUAGCUGGUUGUGUUACUCAGGGUGGGCUGGGGACUCACUGGAAGAAUCCCCCCAGCCUGCCCAAGACAGGUUUUUUCCUUGUGCCCUCUUCAGAGAGGGUCAGGGGAAGAGGGUCCAGGUGGGCAAAGGCGGAGAUGCCACAAAUGAUUAACCACUAAGGCCAGACGGCUGCCAGGAGGAGUGGGGGAUGAUGAGGUGGCCCCAGGGUCCGGGCAAUUGGCUUUGGUUUUCCGUCUUCUUUCCUCAGGAUGCCCCUGAGGCCUGGGACCUGUGCCUGGCUUUGAGGAGCAUCUGUGGCUUGGCGAUCCAGCUGCUGGGGUGAUCGUGGGCUUCCCUCCUCUCAGCAGGGCUGGAGUUCUUGCCCCAGAGACUGGACAAGUGGCUGUUUCUGUGACAUAUUUAUUUUUACUGGCGUUUCAUGUCGCUUAAAAAAAAAACAAACAGAAAAAUUGUAAGUCAGUAUAAUUGCCUAUCAGUUUUCCUUAUUUCACUUUUUGUAAGAUAAAAUUAAAACUCCAGGAAGCAGUGUUAUUUGAUCGAGGAAUGGUCUGGACACUGGGUUGGCUGGGUGGUAGUGAAAGGAAUAGAUCUUAGAACACAGUGGGCUCUGCGAUAGCCCUUGGGUGGUGAGACAGGCAGGAACAGAGGGAAGAUUGCUGGCAGUUUCUUUGUUACAGUGGGGUUCACUGGGCUUUUUCUGCUUUUGUUUACCUGAAGAGGGAUGUAUUUCCAGGCUCCAGGGGAAACAGCAA